GGGUUGUGAGGUUAAGCGACUAAGCGUACACGGUGGAUGCCCUGGCAGUCAGAGGCGAUGAAGGACGUGCUAAUCUGCGAAAAGCGUCGGUAAGGUGAUAUGAACCGUUAUAACCGGCGAUGUCCGAAUGGGGAAACCCAGUGUGAUUCGUCACACUAUCGUUAACUGAAUACAUAGGUUAACGAGGCGAACCGGGGGAACUGAAACAUCUAAGUACCCCGAGGAAAAGAAAUCAACCGAGAUUCCCCCAGUAGCGGCGAGCGAACGGGGAGCAGCCCAGAGUCUGAAUCAGCUUGUGUGUUAGUGGAACGGUCUGGAAAGUCCGACGGUACAGGGUGAUAGUCCCGUACACCAAAAUGCACAGGUUGUGAACUCGAAGAGUAGGGCGGGACACGUGGUAUCCUGUCUGAAUAUGGGGGGACCAUCCUCCAAGGCUAAAUACUCCUGACUGACCGAUAGUGAACCAGUACCGUGAGGGAAAGGCGAAAAGAACCCCGGCGAGGGGAGUGAAAAAGAACCUGAAACCGUGUACGUACAAGCAGUGGGAGCACCUUCGGGUGUGACUGCGUACCUUUUGUAUAAUGGGUCAGCGACUUAUAUUCUGUAGCAAGGUUAACCGUAUAGGGGAGCCGCAGGGAAACCGAGUCUUAACUGGGCGUUAAGUUGCAGGGUAUAGACCCGAAACCCGGUGAUCUAGCCAUGGGCAGGUUGAAGGUUGGGUAACACUAACUGGAGGACCGAACCGACUAAUGUUGAAAAAUUAGCGGAUGACUUGUGGCUGGGGGUGAAAGGCCAAUCAAACCGGGAGAUAGCUGGUUCUCCCCGAAAGCUAUUUAGGUAGCGCCUCGUGAAUUCAUCUUCGGGGGUAGAGCACUGUUUCGGCUAGGGGGUCAUCCCGACUUACCAACCCGAUGCAAACUACGAAUACCGAAGAAUGUUAUCACGGGAGACACACGGCGGGUGCUAACGUCCGUCGUGAAGAGGGAAACAACCCAGACCGCCAGCUAAGGUCCCAAAGUCAUGGUUAAGUGGGAAACGAUGUGGGAAGGCACAGACAGCCAGGAUGUUGGCUUAGAAGCAGCCAUCAUUUAAAGAAAGCGUAAUAGCUCACUGGUCGAGUCGGCCUGCGCGGAAGAUGUAACGGGGCUAAACCAUGCACCGAAGCUGCGGCAGCGACACUAUGUGUUGUUGGGUAGGGGAGCGUUCUGUAAGCCUGCGAAGGUGACCUGUGAGGGUUGCUGGAGGUAUCAGAAGUGCGAAUGCUGACAUAAGUAACGAUAAAGCGGGUGAAAAGCCCGCUCGCCGGAAGACCAAGGGUUCCUGUCCAACGUUAAUCGGGGCAGGGUGAGUCGACCCCUAAGGCGAGGCCGAAAGGCGUAGUCGAUGGGAAACAGGUUAAUAUUCCUGUACUUGGUGUUACUGCGAAGGGGGGACGGAGAAGGCUAUGUUAGCCGGGCGACGGUUGUCCCGGUUUAAGCAUGUAGGCUGGUUGUCCAGGCAAAUCCGGAUAAUCAAGGCUGAGGUGUGAUGACGAGGCACUACGGUGCUGAAGUAACAAAUGCCCUGCUUCCAGGAAAAGCCUCUAAGCAUCAGGUAACAUCAAAUCGUACCCCAAACCGACACAGGUGGUCAGGUAGAGAAUACCAAGGCGCUUGAGAGAACUCGGGUGAAGGAACUAGGCAAAAUGGUGCCGUAACUUCGGGAGAAGGCACGCUGGUGUGUAGGUGAAGUCCCUGCGGAUGGAGCUGAGACCAGUCGAAGAUACCAGCUGGCUGCAACUGUUUAUUAAAAACACAGCACUGUGCAAACACGAAAGUGGACGUAUACGGUGUGACGCCUGCCCGGUGCCGGAAGGUUAAUUGAUGGGGUUAUCCGUAAGGAGAAGCUCUUGAUCGAAGCCCCGGUAAACGGCGGCCGUAACUAUAACGGUCCUAAGGUAGCGAAAUUCCUUGUCGGGUAAGUUCCGACCUGCACGAAUGGCGUAAUGAUGGCCAGGCUGUCUCCACCCGAGACUCAGUGAAAUUGAACUCGCUGUGAAGAUGCAGUGUACCCGCGGCAAGACGGAAAGACCCCGUGAACCUUUACUAUAGCUUGACACUGAACAUUGAGCCUUGAUGUGUAGGAUAGGUGGGAGGCUUUGAAGCGUGGACGCCAGUCUGCGUGGAGCCAACCUUGAAAUACCACCCUUUAAUGUUUGAUGUUCUAACGUUGGCCCCUGACCGGGGUUGCGGACAGUGUCUGGUGGGUAGUUUGACUGGGGCGGUCUCCUCCCAAAGCGUAACGGAGGAGCACGAAGGUUAGCUAAUCCUGGUCGGACAUCAGGAGGUUAGUGCAAUGGCAUAAGCUAGCUUGACUGCGAGCGUGACGGCGCGAGCAGGUGCGAAAGCAGGUCAUAGUGAUCCGGUGGUUCUGAAUGGAAGGGCCAUCGCUCAACGGAUAAAAGGUACUCCGGGGAUAACAGGCUGAUACCGCCCAAGAGUUCAUAUCGACGGCGGUGUUUGGCACCUCGAUGUCGGCUCAUCACAUCCUGGGGCUGAAGUAGGUCCCAAGGGUAUGGCUGUUCGCCAUUUAAAGUGGUACGCGAGCUGGGUUUAGAACGUCGUGAGACAGUUCGGUCCCUAUCUGCCGUGGGCGCUGGAGAAUUGAGGGGGGCUGCUCCUAGUACGAGAGGACCGGAGUGGACGCAUCACUGGUGUUCGGGUUGUCAUGCCAAUGGCACUGCCCGGUAGCUAAAUGCGGAAGAGAUAAGUGCUGAAAGCAUCUAAGCACGAAACUUGCCCCGAGAUGAGUUCUCCCUGAGACUUUAAGUCUCCUGAAGGAACGUUGAAGACGACGACGUUGAUAGGCCGGGUGUGUAAGCGCAGCGAUGCGUUGAGCUAACCGGUACUAAUGAACCGUGAGGCUUAACCUUACAACGCCGAAG
RNAcentral lists this ribosomal RNA (2923 nucleotides) under Klebsiella pneumoniae. RNAcentral's name for it is "23S ribosomal RNA". It matches the Rfam family "Bacterial large subunit ribosomal RNA". The record is from RNAcentral. Lineage: Bacteria; Pseudomonadati; Pseudomonadota; Gammaproteobacteria; Enterobacterales; Enterobacteriaceae.